This 1065-nucleotide long non-coding RNA is filed under the name Equus caballus (horse). Its description in RNAcentral is "lncRNA (ENSECAG00000059226.1)". The record is from RNAcentral. Lineage: Eukaryota; Metazoa; Chordata; Mammalia; Perissodactyla; Equidae.
GGGUUUGGAGGGCACUGUCUUGAUCCUGCUCUGGAGGGUUCAAUAAGCUUUCCAGGUGUUCUUUGAGUAAACCGCAAAUAAUAGCGGGAGAAACGUCAGAAAGAAAGGGUAAGGGAUGCGUGAAGGAGGCCACUGAUUGCCAAAACUUUUGGACUUUAUUCAGUAGUAGAGAGCCACUGAACUUUUUAAAUUGAAAGGCCUGUUAGCUAGCUCCAAUCCCAAUUAAGCAGAUAAAAACGUGGAUACUGAAACAAAUGAUUCGGGAUGUAAUCUCCCAUUGCUGCGUGUGUGUCUCAGGGAACAAUGAAAUGCACAGCCGCAGGAUUCUCGGGUGCACAGAAGCGGACCGCAGGGGCGGCCGUUGAGCUGCCCUCUCUAAAGGAGUAGGCCGAGCACAGUCAUCAGCCAUGGCCCAUCGGUCUCGCCGCGGUCCCUCUGGCCUUAGGGCGCCGGCCCUUCCCUGCGCCGAGCAAGGAUGCUUGUCACUCCAGGAUCAGCGCUGGGAAGCCGCUGCUAGGCCUCUGCCGACACCACCAACAGAUGCGCAAUGCGUCUGCUCCACCGCAGCAGCCCCGCUCUGCAGACAUCCCAUAGGAGGGAAGGCCGCCGUACUAGGACACCACGGCCCGCCGCAAACAGCCGACGCGCGCGGGUCUAAGAUUCCAGCCCCGACAGCCGCUCGCCGGACUGCAAAUCCCGGCAUGCGCGCCUCCCCCGGGAGCCAAUGGGGAAGGUGCAAGUUCCCUCAGCCAAUCAUAUCCCGACCCAGUGCAACACCCAGACUGAAUUCUGGGACUUGUGGUUUUCACGUGGCAGCAUUGCACCAUCGUGGUUCAGGCAAUGUAGGCCACGCGUCCGAUUCGAAACGAAAGCUCCUUCAUGUAAUUCUUCUGUUGGUCCCCAGACUCACCCCCUUAAUUAGCAUUAGUUUCAUGCCUUACACUCCUUAAAAAUCGUAAACUUAUCUCUUACUGUCAUACAGAAAAAAAAAUCAAGUUAUUUUCAGAGAAGGCACGCUUGUCCCAGUCGCCCCCCCCCGGCCUUUAACCGUCGCUUUCAAGUCUC